Molecule: ribosomal RNA, 108 nt
Filed under: Nestor notabilis (Kea)
Lineage: Eukaryota; Metazoa; Chordata; Aves; Psittaciformes; Psittacidae
Source: RNAcentral
GCCUACGGCCAUACCACCCCGAUCUCAUCUGAUCUCAGAAGCUAAGCAGCGUCGGGCUCAGUUAGUACUUGGAUGGAGAUCACCUGGGAAUCCCAGGUGUUGUAGGCU